RNAcentral lists this ribosomal RNA (549 nucleotides) under Exydrus gibbosus. RNAcentral describes it as "partial large subunit ribosomal RNA". It matches the Rfam family "Bacterial large subunit ribosomal RNA", at positions 1812 to 2630 of the family's 2925-position model. Lineage: Eukaryota; Metazoa; Arthropoda; Insecta; Coleoptera; Hydrophilidae. The record is from RNAcentral.
AACAUGGCCUUUUGAAAAUGAUUUAAGGUCCGGCCUGCCCAAUGAUGAAUUCAAUGGCUGCAGUAUUUUGACUGUACAAAGGUAGCAUAAUCAUUAGUUUUUUAAUUGAAAGCUUGUAUGAAUGGUUUAAUGAGAAAAUAACUGUCUUUAUUUAAUUUUUUAUAGAAUUUUAUUAUUGAGUUAAAAAGCUUAAAUGGAUUUGAAAGACGAGAAGACCCUAUAGAGUUUUAUGAUUAAUUAAUUUCUAGAUUUUAAUAAUCUUAUUUCUUUGUAUUUAAUAAAUUAUUUAGUUGGGGUGACUUGAAAAUUUAAAUAACUUUUUAUUCUUUAAAACAUUUAUUUAUGAAUAAUUGAUCCAUGUUUGUUGUGAUUAAAAGAUUAAAUUACCUUAGGGAUAACAGCGUAAUUUUUUUAGAGAGCUCUAAUCGAUAAAAAAGUUUGCGACCUCGAUGUUGGAUUAAAAUAAACUAUUGGCGCAGUAGUUGAUGGGUUUGGUCUGUUCGACCUUUAAAAUUUUACAUGAUCUGAGUUAAACCGGUGUGAGCCAGG